UCUCAAAUCAGAUUUUAUUUUAUAAUUGACAUUGCAAAAAAGUCCGACCAAUUUCUACCAAGAAUUUAGUUCGAAAUUGGUUAGACCAUUUUUGAUCGAAUCAUGAAUUGCUAUGUUUAAUAAAUUAACUACCCAAG
This 137-nucleotide small RNA is filed under the name Arabidopsis thaliana (thale cress). Its description in RNAcentral is "ATSL065600". Lineage: Eukaryota; Viridiplantae; Streptophyta; Magnoliopsida; Brassicales; Brassicaceae. The record is from RNAcentral.